Molecule: ribosomal RNA, 496 nt
Filed under: uncultured bacterium
Lineage: Bacteria
Description: partial 16S ribosomal RNA
Rfam family: Bacterial small subunit ribosomal RNA
Source: RNAcentral
AUGAACGCUGGCGGCGUGCCUCAUACAUGCAAGUCGAGCGAACAGACGAGGAGCUUGCUCCUCUGACGUUAGCGGCGGACGGGUGAGUAACACGUGGAUAACCUACCUAUAAGACUGGGAUAACUUCGGGAAACCGGAGCUAAUACCGGAUAAUAUAUUGAACCGCAUGGUACAAUAGUGAAAGACGGUUUUGCUGUCACUUAUAGAUGGAUCCGCGCCGCAUUAGCUAGUUGGUAAGGUAACGGCUUACCAAGGCAACGAUGCGUAGCCGACCUGAGAGGGUGAUCGGCCACACUGGAACUGAGACACGGUCCAGACUCCUACGGGAGGCAGCAGUAGGGAAUCUUCCGCAAUGGGCGAAAGCCUGACGGAGCAACGCCGCGUGAGUGAUGAAGGUCUUCGGAUCGUAAAACUCUGUUAUUAGGGAAGAACAAAUGUGUAAGUAACUAUGCACGUCUUGACGGUACCUAAUCAGAAAGCCACGGCUAACUACGUG